AAAAAGUUAGUUAAAUUAACAUUAGUAUGUCAAACUAAAAUUAUUAGUUUAAAUCUAAUACUUUUUA
RNAcentral lists this transfer RNA (67 nucleotides) under Panorpa communis. Its description in RNAcentral is "tRNA-Asp". It matches the Rfam family "tRNA". Rfam says of the family: Transfer RNA (tRNA) molecules are approximately 80 nucleotides in length. Their secondary structure includes four short double-helical elements and three loops (D, anti-codon, and T loops). Lineage: Eukaryota; Metazoa; Arthropoda; Insecta; Mecoptera; Panorpidae. The record is from RNAcentral.